GAUGAACGCUGGCGGCGUGCCUAACACAUGCAAGUCGAGCGAACAGACGAGGAGCUUGCUCCUCUGACGUUAGCGGCGGACGGGUGAGUAACACGUGGAUAACCUACCUAUAAGACUGGGAUAACUUCGGGAAACCGGAGCUAAUACCGGAUAAUAUAUUGAACCGCAUGGUUCAAUAGUGAAAGACGGUUUUGCUGUCACUUAUAGAUGGAUCCGCGCCGCAUUAGCUAGUUGGUAAGGUAACGGCUUACCAAGGCAACGAUGCGUAGCCGACCUGAGAGGGUGAUCGGCGACACUGGAGCUGAGACACGGUCCAGACGCCUACGAGAGGCAGCAGUAGGGAAUCUUCCGCAAUGGGCGAAAGCCUGACGGAGCAACGCCGCGUGAGUGAUGAAGGUCUUCGGAUCGUAAAGCUCUGUUAUUAGGGAAGAACAAAUGUGUAAGUAACUAUGCACGUCUUGACGGUACCUAAUCAGAAAGCCACGGCUAACUACGUG
Molecule: ribosomal RNA, 497 nt
Filed under: uncultured bacterium
Lineage: Bacteria
Description: partial 16S ribosomal RNA
Rfam family: Bacterial small subunit ribosomal RNA
Source: RNAcentral